UGGGGAAUAUUGGACAAUGGGCGAAAGCCUGAUCCAGCCAUGCCGCGUGUGUGAAGAAGGUCUUCGGAUUGUAAAGCACUUUAAGUUGGGAGGAAGGGCAUUAACCUAAUACGUUAGUGUUUUGACGUUACCGAAAGAAUAAGCACCGGCUAACUCUGUGCCAGCAGCCGCGGUAAUACAGAGGGUGCAAGCGUUAAUCGGAAUUACUGGGCGUAAAGCGCGCGUAGGUGGUUUGUUAAGUUGGAUGUGAAAUCCCCGGGCUCAACCUGGGAACUGCAUUCAAAACUGACUGACUAGAGUAUGGUAGAGGGUGGUGGAAUUUCCUGUGUAGCGGUGAAAUGCGUAGAUAUAGGAAGGAACACCAGUGGCGAAGGCGACCACCUGGACUAAUACUGACACUGAGGUGCGAAAGCGUGGGGAGCAAACA
This 427-nucleotide ribosomal RNA is filed under the name uncultured bacterium. Its description in RNAcentral is "partial 16S ribosomal RNA". It matches the Rfam family "Bacterial small subunit ribosomal RNA", at positions 355 to 774 of the family's 1533-position model. The record is from RNAcentral.